UACGAAGGGUGCAAGCGUUACUCGGAAUUACUGGGCGUAAAGCGUGCGUAGGUGGUUUGUUAAGUCUGAUGUGAAAGCCCUGGGCUCAACCUGGGAACUGCAUUGGAAACUGGCUUACUAGAGUGCGGUAGAGGGGUGUGGAAUUCCCGGUGUAGCAGUGAAAUGCGUAGAUAUCGGGAGGAACAUCUGUGGCGAAGGCGACACCCUGGACCAGCACUGACACUGAGGCACGAAAGCGUGGGGAGCAAACAG
RNAcentral lists this ribosomal RNA (252 nucleotides) under uncultured prokaryote. RNAcentral describes it as "partial 16S ribosomal RNA". It matches the Rfam family "Bacterial small subunit ribosomal RNA", at positions 524 to 775 of the family's 1533-position model. The record is from RNAcentral.